RNAcentral lists this long non-coding RNA (1677 nucleotides) under Nicotiana tabacum (common tobacco). RNAcentral's name for it is "long non-coding RNA (NTAB_LNC003162)". Lineage: Eukaryota; Viridiplantae; Streptophyta; Magnoliopsida; Solanales; Solanaceae. The record is from RNAcentral.
ACCGUGCGAGGCCUUUUUGUUUGGGAUGAUCCAUUUUAAGUGUCAAUACUAAGAUCAUCCUAAAAAUCUGUAAUAUUAUGAUUAUUCUAUUUCAUCAGACAAUCAUUUACUACAAAUAAAGAAAGAAAAUAAAAAGAUACCACUUAACAUAGAUAAAUAGCAGUAUGGUAUAAAGAAUAUACUUUUAACACUUAACAACUUGGAAAGUAACUUUCACUCUAGACGGACAAUAGGUAAAUGCAUUAGAACAAGGUGAUGGUUGUGGAAAGACACUAUCUGGAGCAUGUAGAUUCAAGAUGUCACUCAUGAUUAGGUGAUGGUUGGAGUUAAGAUGUUGAUCAGCUUCUCGUCUUCUCAUUCUUUUCCUAUUUUUAUUUUUAUUUUGUUUAACAGCUCUUCUACACUUUGGCUUUGAAUCAGUGGAAGCACUUCUAUUAUUGCUGCCACAUUUACUAUUUCCUAAUUUGUUAUUCAGGAGAAUGAUAUAAAGUGUAGAUCAUGAGAGGUACUGCCUAACAUGACCAAUAAUUCAGAAGGGGAAAAAAGUGGUUAACAUUUGCGAGUAAUGACAUACAUGGCCUAAAUGGAUAAUCAACAUUGAGUUGUGUAUUCACUGUUUUUGUCUGUUAUAAUUUUGUUUAUAAUAUAUAGUAGACAAAAAAUUACUCUGUUAAACUAAAUAUGUAAUAAAGUUUAUUCAAUCACAUCAUCCUUUCACUAAACUAAAUAUAGGAUAAAAUUUAAUCAACAUCAUCUCUUCACUAAGGAGUAAAGAACACUUAUAUAAUAGAGUGCACACAAGAAUAUGAGAUAGAAUAUAUAUCAUCACAAUGCUGCUGCAAAAAAAGUCUUUUUUUGUGACCAUCAACGAUGUUGCUGCUAUAUUAAAUGCAUAAGCCGCUCUCUAAUCACACAAAAAGAGUAGAGCAGGAAAUCAUAAUAGAGCAGAACAAAUAUACUAACACUAAUAUUGCAACACUUCUGUAUAAUUGAAAGAAACUAAGAUUUAACAGGAAUUUUUACCACUAUGCAAUACAAAUAGCCGAGAUCAAUAAUAAUCUAAUUUAGUCAAAACUCCAUAUCACUAAACUAUAAUCAACAUUUAAAGAUAUUGUUAAUGAAGUUCGUUAUCAUUAUUAAACAUAUAAAUAAAAGGGCAUUCUUGUUCUCCAUAUAAAACACAUCCUUAGUUUCUCAAACUUUUUCACGCUGUUAUGUUCCUUCAAAUUUUGCACGCCCUUUUGUUCCUUUUCCACACCAUCUCCCAUCGAGNNNNNNNNNNNNNNNNNNNNNNNAGGGAAAAAAUUGUGUCCUUGAGUGAAGGUGUAAUUGUACAUUUAGAUCAUGCAAUUGAACGAUCACAAGAUAUUCACUUCCCAUUUUUGUUUUAAAAAAAAUUCAUGUCCUUGGUAAUAUUUACUAUGAGAAUUACCGACCUGUUGAGAUAGCACCAUUUCCUGAAGCCGUGGGGGUGGGCAAUGUCUCCCUAUAGUACCUUUUUUCAAACACUUCAUGGGCGUCGAAUAAGCAUCUCAUGUUUGGUUCUUUUAAGGAUAUUUUAUCCGGUUCUCCAGUAAUGUAAUGGUAGCAGCGAAGUGAUUUAAAGAUGGAGUCGAAUAAAAAACCAAAAUGCAUAUAACUGGAGGCAAAGUGAAAAAGACAAUGAGGGAAGAACAU